GGGAUAAUAUCUUAUAAGAUUAGAUUUAACUUGAUUGUGUAAAUCUUGUAAAUCCCUUAACUGUAGGGAUAGGUUUCAUCUCGUCUGUUGAUGUAAAUUUAGCUAGACCAUUGGAUAUGGAGGAGCUCAACUAUAAAUAGAGAGUCUCCCCCUUAGUUGUAAAUCAUCCAUUGUAUCCAUUGUUUUGUAUUCUUUGAGAGUGAAUACUAAAUUGAGAGCAUUUACUUAAACACCUCUCGUGCAUUAUUUUUCUAUGACUAUUCUGUUCUUUUAAACAUUCUUUUGGCUUGAAUUGCUUUCGCUAUAUAAAUUGAUGCAUUGGAGGAAUUCUAUGAGAAUCCUCAUUUGGUGGGAGAUAGGUUGAUUUAGGCGUGUUUGAAAUGAAGGAAUUGCCUAAAGCCGUAUGGAUUGUGAAACUAAAGUUCUAGCCCGGUGACACAAGCUUAUAACUAUUAUUUGCUAGGCUUUGUGGCAUUCUAGAAACAAGUGGAUCCAUGAGAACAAAUGGGAUUCUGUUACAGACAUCUCUACUUUUGCAGUGCAAUCGAUUGGCUAGAGUUUUCAAAGUAGAAGAUGGACAAGAAAUAUUUUACUAGCUUUAUGGUGCUCCAUUAGCAGCUGUGAGAGACUCAGAAUAUGGUCGUGAUCCAAGGGGGUGAUGUUUUUCCCAGGAUGUGGUUUUACGAGCCAAUUUUACCCAGGCAACUGAUCGUGGCUCGGUAGACUCUGCAUUGUGAAGAUGUUGCCAAAAUCAAUGUUGAUGCAACAUUGAAUGCAGAGUUGAGAAUUGCUACUUCUGGUGCUAUUUUUUGUGACUACGAGGGAUGGUGCUUGUAAGCUUCAGUAGUACAAUUGCUGAAGCCUUUGAUGCCCCGUCUGUUGAGGCUUUUGCUUUGUCAUACGCCAUUCAGAAAGCCCUUGAUAAGGGGUUUUUGGGAAUUGGUCUAAAGUCGGAUUGUGCUUUUAUUGUAAACAAAUUUAAUAGACAAAUUUAAUAGUUGGACUCUAAAAUUAUCUUUUAUGAUGGUAUUAUUAGGGAGUCCUUAGGUUUUUAUGAGUCAUUUGCCGAUUUUAAUUUACUUUUACCCCCUUUUACCCAUAGGUCAGCCAAUAGUAUUGUUCAUUAUUUGAUACAUUGAUUGAUAGAUGGAAAUGAUUUUCUUGAUUUCGGUUUGGGCUACUCCAAUUUCAUCCAUUAGUUGGUGUUGAAUGAUAUUACUUAAUUUAACUC
RNAcentral lists this long non-coding RNA (1231 nucleotides) under Gossypium barbadense (sea-island cotton). RNAcentral's name for it is "long non-coding RNA (GBAR_LNC015163)". The record is from RNAcentral. Lineage: Eukaryota; Viridiplantae; Streptophyta; Magnoliopsida; Malvales; Malvaceae.